Betta splendens (Siamese fighting fish) is the source of this 901-nucleotide long non-coding RNA. RefSeq lists it as uncharacterized. Lineage: Eukaryota; Metazoa; Chordata; Actinopteri; Anabantiformes; Osphronemidae. The transcript is spliced from 5 exons. The record is from RefSeq and is a predicted model, not a curated record.
GGUUAAGCUAACGCAGCUAACCGCAGUGUGACGGUUGGUCACUGAGAUGCUACUUAGCUGUUUAUGUGUGGAUGUUCUUUUACCGUUUUGCUGCAUUUAAUGCAUUAGGAGUGAUGAAGUUUUGCAUUGGAGCAAAUAACCCACGUGCUGGGUUUCAGACAUUCCAUGGAGAUUCCCUCACUGGAGGAGAUGGUGAGCCUGAGUCCACUGUAAAGGGAUCCAGCAUCAUCAUGUGGAUUUCUGCGCUGCUGAGGAGAGGAACUGCUCGUCAGAUUUUAGGAUAAAGGCUGCUGAAGGAGAAGUCUUUGACAUUCUAUAAAGACCCCUCUUCAAGCAGGAAGCGGGCCUCGCCACAGAUAAGAACGGGCCCCGGUGACUCCUCGCCUGCCGUCCACUGGACGCUGCAAAGUUAAACUGACCAGAGCAGGUUGGAAGCCAAGCCUCAUCCCCUGCAGGUGUUUGUCAGUCUCCCUCAUCCAGACCCUCCCAGGUCUCACCAUCUCACCCAUCUGUUUCCAUUCGAGACAGGCCUCGCUCCCCGGCCCCUGUGACCCCCCUCUCACGUCAGGCUGCAGCAUGUAAUUAAACACGGACAGUAGGAAAUAACGUGUGAGCUGCAGCUGCAGCGGCCGUCUGUCGGCUGCUUUGUUGGACGAAAUCAGCUGUUUAUUACUGCAUCCACGUCUCAGUCACACACAGGUUUAAGGUUAUUGUAUUUUACCAGGUAAAUUGCUCUUCAUGUACAUUUUAAUUGAGCUGCUUCCUGGUAAAACAGUUGAAAGCCGUUCAUGAGCUGAAGAGAAGCCUUGUUUUACGGUAUUUGAGCGUCUGUUGUGUUACAGUUCAUGCUGCGUGUUGAAGAAGAUGAAGAUGUUUAAUUAAAUGACCAAAUGGCAAACCA